Molecule: RNA transcript, 2654 nt
Organism: Panicum hallii
Lineage: Eukaryota; Viridiplantae; Streptophyta; Magnoliopsida; Poales; Poaceae
Exons: 4
Source: RefSeq, a predicted model, not a curated record
UUUUUUGCCACCGGCUUAGCCCCCAAGUGCAUGGGUCCCGCAAAACAUCAUCUCCUCCCCCAUUCUCCUUCCUCCCCCGCAAUGGCAUCCUGCCUCCUCUGCGCGUCGCGCGAGCAGCUCCCCGGGGGCGCGCACCAAACCCUAAUCGCUCCGGGCGGCCUCGGUCCGCUCCAGCGACCGGCCGUCGGGCGAGGUGCGGCGGUGGUCGCGCUCACGCUCGGGGCGCAGGUACCACGGUGGGGGCUUGAGGAGGGCGCGGUGGGCCCUGCUCCAGGCGGCGCGGUGCGGGCGUGAAGGCGGAGGCGGAGAGGGGUUGGGAUUUUCACGCAGGACGAUGAGGUGGAGGCUCGCGGGUGGCGUCGUGAAUGGGAGAGGCGGAGCGCUGCGGCUGCUGCUGCGCACAUGGAGGCCGGGGCACCGCCCCCCGGCGGGCGCGGGAGGGUGCAUUGGCUCGUCAGCGUCGAGAUGUUGUCGUGAGGAGGUUUAGCUCUGAAGUUGAGGAGGAUGUCACCAGGGUGUAGACAACUUAACAGUGGUUUUUGUUGGGCGGGGGGCUGUAGCAGAGAUACGAUAGGUGGAUAUUUUGCAUAUGCAGAAACCACAUUGUUGCUUUUUUAAUUAUGUAUAUGUACAGGGUGUGGACAACACUUUUUAGUAUAUUUUUGUGAUUCACCUUAUAACCUGGCUGAUUCUGUCAGCUGGAUCCUCUCCGGCCAGGAGCAGAUGGCGCUCUAGAACAAGAAUUGGAAAUUGUAGAACGCAAGAACUCUGUGGAUUUUGUGCCACGUAACCACUGCGACGUUUUCUGUUGAUCCUUUAUUUAUAGUGGCUGAUUAACAACCGAUCGAAAGCAAAUGAAAGGCAGGGCUCGGUCUUGCCUCCCCUCCAUGCGUGCACCAUGACCCGCGCACUGCAUGCGCCAUCCCGCACGCCGGGUCAUGCCGCGCGACGCGGACUCCCCUCGCCACGGCGUGAACGUGCACGCCUCGGGCGGAAGUACAGGACGCGCUCUGCUCCAGUAAAGCCGGAACACAGAGCCCACUUGUCUAACAAACAAACUAACAAGGAAAAACCUGAACACAAGUUUAAAGAAGCUAACAAAUGCGAUUCAAAUAACCAUACCUAGCAUUUUUCAUGUAGGAAACUACAUCAUUUAUUGGAUUUCAUGUAGGCAAUUAACUUAUGUUAAAUGAACAUGCAAAUUAUUCAUUUUAGUUUAGCAGUUUUUAUGUUCUGAUUUAGCAUUUUCAUGUGUACAUUUCUACGAGUGAAAUGAACAUCUCACCUUGGUACUUGGAUUGUCAUUUUGCUAAUUGUUAUCAUUACUUGCUUUAUCCCUAUCCAGUAAUCAGUAGGGACAAGUGCAGGUGUUCCUUGUGUUUUGCAUCUCAUCCAGCAACAGUAGCUUCUGAAUCAACUCAGCUUUUCAGGUUUGUUCAGAGACACAUUGAGGUAGUUAACUGCAUGAGCUAUUAUUUUUUCCUUUGCCAUAGUGAUCUGUCACUCGAGUUGUCUUGCAUAGAAGAAGUCUGAUUUGUGUUAACCCCAUGUGUGGCAUGUAGCUUUUUCCUUGCACUGCUAAAUUUAAUCAUCUGUUGCUCUGGCAUGCCAUUAUGCUGUAGUUGCAUUUGUUCCAGUAGCUAGCAGCUCUUUGUUUUUUGUCUCAGCUAACAACUUUAGCUACAGCAGCAGCACUUAUGUGCUUUUUCUUCAGAGCUUGCCUCUUGUGAAUUGGCUAAUUAGUAAGUUGGUUAAACUGUGCAUUAUCAGCCACUUGGUUUGCUCAUCUGGAUUAGCUGUAUUGUGCAGGCAGGUCAAUUCAGAAGCUGCAGCUAUAGCUCGAUCAACAGCUGCAAGUGGACAUAAGCAGAAUGCUCGAGUUUCACUCAGGUUCCCAAGUUAUCCUGCAGGGGAGAUCAAGUACAAUGCAUAAAGAAGAUAUGAUGUGCAUAUGAACCAGCUUAAGUAAAUAAGUACAUAUGGAGUGAGGGCAAGUACAUUUCUUGCAUUUUUUUUGUCUAAAUGUGUACUUCAUUUGGCAAUAAUGUUGUUCUAGAUUAGGCAAAUUAUGCAAUUGUUUUAGGCAAUAAUAUGGUUCUGAAUUAGGUAAUAUUAUGGCUAGAAAUUUAGGAAAUAAUGUGUUUCUGUAUUAGCAAAAAUAUGAUCAUGAAUUAGGUUAUAUAGAACUAGCAAUGUUUGUUACUAGAGGCAUUCAGCCUUGCUGAUAUUUUAGUCCUAAUACUAACUGCACUUGCUAUUCGUUUCAGUCAUACAAAACAGUGUUUAGGACCUGAAACCUGAUGUGCCUUUUUUUCUGGCUGCAAGUUUCCUCAUCGAAUCGGCACUAUAAUAUGCUCUUCAACUAGGUGUUUGGUGGCCUAAAAGUUCAUUAGAUUGUCAUCGGCAAGAGUUUAGUUGCAGCUCAAUCUCGAUUUUGAUUCAUGAGCAACUUAGUAGUAGUUGCAGUAGCUCUAAUCUUUUUGUUUGGUCAGUACAACAGUGGAGGCAAUCAGUUAAUCACAUGUAUGCUGGUAGUUUUGAAAUUUUAUUAAUGCUUAGAAUUUAGAUGGGGGAAAAUGCGUUUGUAUAUGUUCUAAUGUGCUUAUUGUUUUCCAAGGAUUUGCUUAUCGGAGAGUAAAAAUGAGAUCUGUAUA